RNAcentral lists this ribosomal RNA (252 nucleotides) under uncultured bacterium. RNAcentral's name for it is "partial 16S ribosomal RNA". It matches the Rfam family "Bacterial small subunit ribosomal RNA", at positions 524 to 776 of the family's 1533-position model. The record is from RNAcentral.
UACGGAGGAUGCGAGCGUCAUCCGGAUUUAUUGGGUUUAAAGGGUGCGUAGGCGGGAUGCCAAGUCAGCGGUAAAAAUGCGGUGCUCAACGCCGUCGAGCCGUUGAAACUGGCGUUCUUGAGUGGGCGAGAAGUAUGCGGAAUGCGUGGUGUAGCGGUGAAAUGCAUAGAUAUCACGCAGAACUCCGAUUGCGAAGGCAGCAUACCGGCGCCCUACUGACGCUGAGGCACGAAAGCGUGGGUAUCGAACAGG